Molecule: ribosomal RNA, 708 nt
Filed under: uncultured fungus
Lineage: Eukaryota; Fungi
Description: eukaryotic LSU rRNA
Rfam family: Eukaryotic large subunit ribosomal RNA
Source: RNAcentral
CCCGCUGAACUUAAGCAUAUCAGUAAGCGGAGGAAAAGAAACUAACAAGGAUUCCCCUAGUAAUGGCGAAUGAAGCGGGAAUAGCUCAAAGUUUAAAUCUCAGUGGCUUCCACUGCGAAUUGUAGUCUAAAGAAGGCGAUCUAAACCACAGAUGGUAGUCAAGUCCCUUGGGAGAGGGCGCCAGAGAGGGUGAGAGCCCCGUCAACUACUGUCUGUGGCCAAGUGAGAGCCUUUCGACGAGUCGAGUUGUUUGGGAAUGCAGCUCAAAGCGGGUGGUAAAUCUCAUCUAAGGCUAAAUACUGGCAAGAGACCGAUAGCGAACAAGUACCGUGAGGGAAAGAUGAAAAGCACCUUGAAAAGGGAGUUAAACAGUGCGUGAAAUUGUUAAAAGGGAAGCGAUUGAGAUCAGUGUUGGUCUGUCGUUUACGUCGGUGCUCUGGUGCCGGCUGCGACGGCGGACCGAGUCAAUGCCAGUUGUGGGUGCUGGAGACGCCGUGCGGGAAGGUGGGGUCAGUCUUCGGGCUGGCUCUUUAUAGACCGCGCUGGCCGCAGCCUCUGCGACUGGAAGGAGGGUGCCGUGGGUGGUGCAUGGAAGGAGGAGCAGUCAGACAUACUAUAUGACUUGAUUGUUAUCCACCAACCAUUAUCCUCUCCCCUAAUUCUCCGUCUUUGACAAAAUGGUCUUAAACGACCCGUCUUGAAACACGG